This 492-nucleotide ribosomal RNA is filed under the name uncultured bacterium. Its description in RNAcentral is "partial 16S ribosomal RNA". It matches the Rfam family "Bacterial small subunit ribosomal RNA", at positions 29 to 507 of the family's 1533-position model. The record is from RNAcentral.
AGUGAACGCUGGCGGUAGGCCUAACACAUGCAAGUCGAACGGCAGCACAGUAAGAGCUUGCUCUUACGGGUGGCGAGUGGCGGACGGGUGAGGAAUACAUCGGAAUCUACUUUUUCGUGGGGGAUAACGUAGGGAAACUUACGCUAAUACCGCAUACGACCUACGGGUGAAAGCAGGGGAUCUUCGGACCUUGCGCGAUUGAAUGAGCCGAUGUCGGAUUAGCUAGUUGGCGGGGUAAAGGCCCACCAAGGCGACGAUCCGUAGCUGGUCUGAGAGGAUGAUCAGCCACACUGGAACUAAGACACGGUCCAGACUCCUACGGGAGGCAGCAGUGUGGAAUAUUGGACAAUGGGCGCAAGCCUUAUCCAGCCAUACCGCGUGGGUGAAGAAGGCCUUCGGGUUGUAAAGCCCUUUUGUUGGGAAAGAAAAGCAGCAGGUUAAUACCCCGCUGUUCUGACGGUACCCAAAGAAUAAGCACCGGCUAACUUCGUG